UUCUGCAGUUGAAGUCAUAGUGAGUUUUAAGUGCGGUUUUGGUUGUCUCGGAGAGAUACCAGCUGGGAAAAAAGCAUCUAGUUAAUACUCAGAAAUCCACCAGAAGAAAACCGCUUGCAAUUGGGCCAGCCCAAGCAAGAAGCCUUGGUGUUAAGAUUGUGGUAAAGCUUCACUGGGUUUUGUGUCCGUAAAGCUAUUGCUGGGAUAAAAGGAAUAGGAUCAGAACGACAUGAACAGGGACGUCCAGCAGAGGGAGCUGUAACUUCAGGAUCAAACUGAAGAUGAACUGUUUCUGGAGGUCCCACCGAGAUGACUAACCCCUGGGGUUGAGUCACGGAGCGCCAGUGUUAGGACCUCGCGGCUCAAGGACUCCUCAGUCCGCGGCAGCUCCAUUUGGGCUUCUGGGGUUCGUUGACCUGCAAUCUGCCUUCACCUGCCUGUGGCUGACUCUCAGGGUAGUAGAAGCUCAGAAAAAGCCCACCAUUGAAGGUUGCCAUCAAUACCAGCCUGGGGAUCUAGUCCUGGUAAAGACCUUCAGGAGAAAGGACUGUUUGGAACCUCGAUGGGAGGGGCCUUUCCAAGUCCUGCUCACCACGCAUACGGCCGUGAAGGUUGAAGGACAUCCCUUGUGGAUCCACACAUCGCAUGUCAAGCAGACACUGACCUCGGACGGAAGUGCUUGUGCAGGAACUUUAACUGAGCCGUCAGGAUGCUGACUCUGAUUUGGAUCCUGUCCUGUGUGGUCCUUGUGGGGGCAUGGAAUACCAAUUCUAUGGUUCAACGAAUGCAGGCCGUAGCCUUACAAGUUAAUCAGACUAAAUGUUGGAUUUGUACUCAUUUUCCUGUUAACCCCUCCUCCUCAGAGAUGCAUAUUCUGGCUUUCCCUUCAGAUUCUACAUGGUCCCUAAUUAAUACAGGGGCCCUCAUUCAUCGAACGCCCAUUUGGAGGUGGGAGCCCACCUUUGUGGUUAUUAAGGGGAGGCCUGGCUAUGCGUCAGGAGAAAUUAUACCGGGGUAGUACUCGGGUGGGUGAGUUGCCAUUGGGUUCCUGUGCCUACCUUGCUGAUUCAAGCCAGCUAUCUAUUCCCUUCCUCUCCUCAGGGAUCAGGAUUCCACUGAGGAAGAUGCUCGACGACUAGGAUACAUAGAACUUGGCUAAGGGUGGUGGAUUGUCCUUUUAAGACAAAAAGGGGGGAAGGGUGGUGGCUUAGACAACUAUAGGGAGCCCACUCAGUAUUGAAAGGGUUAAUGGAAAAAUUGAAUUAACUGCUUAGACCUAAGAGAAAAAUACUGCAACCUUGAAGAACAAUAGCAUCUUGUCUGACAACUGUAGGAUGAGCCCUGAGACAUUCCAUAUGUCUCUCUCUCGGGCCGAAUGUAAUCAAAGUUGUGAUAACUGAGUGUGUAGGCACCGCACCUGUUGUGUAGGAAUGGAAAUUCACUAAAACAUGGAUUGGUCAGUUAACGGAUGCAAAUAAGUGGAUUGAGAUGUGCAAAAUUUACUGAUUGGUUGUAAAAUGCUUUUAAGCAAGUGUUUGUGUAUCUUGCUUUGAGACGGCACAAUAGCUCUCGUUGUAUUGUUCUCCCUUAUGCACAAGUAAUAAAUGGGUUUUCUACGUA
This is a long non-coding RNA of Carcharodon carcharias (great white shark), 1620 nucleotides long. RefSeq lists it as uncharacterized. The record is from RefSeq and is a predicted model, not a curated record. The transcript is spliced from 4 exons. Lineage: Eukaryota; Metazoa; Chordata; Chondrichthyes; Lamniformes; Lamnidae.